UACAGAGGGGGGCAAGCGUUGUUCGGAAUUACUGGGCGUAAAGGGCGCGUAGGCGGCCUGUUAAGUCGAACGUGAAAUCCCCGGGCUCAACCCGGGAACUGCGUCCGAUACUGGCAGGCUUGAAUCCGGGAGAGGGAUGCGGAAUUCCAGGUGUAGCGGUGAAAUGCGUAGAUAUCUGGAGGAACACCGGUGGCGAAGGCGGCGAUCCUGGACCGGGCAUUGA
RNAcentral lists this ribosomal RNA (223 nucleotides) under uncultured bacterium. RNAcentral describes it as "partial 16S ribosomal RNA". It matches the Rfam family "Bacterial small subunit ribosomal RNA", at positions 524 to 743 of the family's 1533-position model. The record is from RNAcentral.